RNAcentral lists this ribosomal RNA (1212 nucleotides) under Triticum aestivum (bread wheat). Its description in RNAcentral is "partial small subunit ribosomal RNA". The record is from RNAcentral. Lineage: Eukaryota; Viridiplantae; Streptophyta; Magnoliopsida; Poales; Poaceae.
CGGAUCUGUUCAUUUGCAGGGGGCUGGAUCCCAGGGGCAGAGUUGCGGUCCUCCAUAGCUGACGGGGAAGAAGCAUGGGAUCUGGAGCAGGAGCCCUGCUGGCGCUUGUGGCAGCAUGUCUAGCGCUUGCCCCGCCCUGCGCUCUGGCUUCUUCUCGCAAGUUUGGUCUGGAUAUUGCGCAACCAAAAUUACUGAACUCCACAAAUGGUUCAUUUACUCCAAGCUCACAUGUUGAUUUUGACCCUUCAAAAUCAAAGCGACUCUCGUGGCAUCCAAGGUUUUCUCUCUCACAUGGAGUGUGACCACUUAGUAUCUAUGGCACAUGGUAAGAUAGGGUCAUCUGUACAUGUUAAUGAUGGUGCUACAAAUAUUUCCCAGAACAAUAUUGAUGCAGGCCUCAUAUUUCGCCUGGCUGAUAGCAAAGACAUAGUUGUUUCGAAGAUUGAAGAUAGGAUAUCAUUAUGGAGUUUUAUUCCAAAAGAGCAUGGGGAGAGCAUGCAGAUUUUGAAGUAUGGAGCAAACCAAAGUGACCCUAACAAGGAAGAAACUCAAUCGAGCAGUGGUGCCAAUAGGCUUGUGACCAUUUUGAUGUAUCUUUCUGAUAUCAAGCAAGGUGGUGAAACUGUUUUCCCCAGAUCUGAGCUGAAGGAUACUCAAGCCAAGGAAGGGACACCUUCUGAAUGUGCUGGUUAUGCAGUGAAACCUGUCAAGGGCAACACAGUUCUGCUGUUCAAUUCAAGGCCUGACAGAGUCGCCGACAAGGACAGUCAGUACGAGUUCUGUCCUGUCGUCGAAGUGGAGAAAUGGCUUGCCAUAAAACAUAUGUAUGCAAGCAAGAUUGAUAAAUCAAAACCUUCGCCGGCAUCCGAGGAUGAUGAUUGCACCGAUGAAGAUGGUAACUGUGUCAGUUGGGCCGCUGCCGGCGAAUGCGACAAGAAUCCUGUGUUUAUGAUUGGCAGUUCAGACUACUAUGGCACUUGCAGGAAGAGCUGCCAUGCGUGCUAGAUUUUUUUUUUUUUGUUUUCGUGCAUUGCCCUUAGAGAUGUCUCUUAGCAUUUUCGUUGUUUAAUACAGGCAUUGGUGUUGUAAGUGGAAAAUGAUUCAGCAAACUGUGCAAUGCCCGCAGAUAAUCUUUACUCUUGUCAGGAAUGUAGUAAGUACAUAGGUAUUGGAUUGGCUACUCUUAUAAAGUUAUGAAAAAUGAUUCUGACC